UACGGAGGGUGCAAGCGUUAUCCGGAUUCACUGGGUUUAAAGGGUGCGUAGGUGGGCUGGUAAGUCAGUGGUGAAAUCUCCAGGCUUAACUUGGAAACUGCCAUUGAUACUAUCAGUCUUGAAUACCGUGGAGGUCAGCGGAAUAUGUCAUGUAGCGGUGAAAUGCUUAGAUAUGACAUAGAACACCAAUUGCGAAGGCAGCUGGCUACACGAGUAUUGACACUGAGGCACGAAAGCGUGGGGAUCAAACAGG
RNAcentral lists this ribosomal RNA (253 nucleotides) under uncultured bacterium. Its description in RNAcentral is "partial 16S ribosomal RNA". It matches the Rfam family "Bacterial small subunit ribosomal RNA", at positions 524 to 776 of the family's 1533-position model. The record is from RNAcentral.